RNAcentral lists this unclassified non-coding RNA (343 nucleotides) under Hevea brasiliensis (rubber tree). The record is from RNAcentral. Lineage: Eukaryota; Viridiplantae; Streptophyta; Magnoliopsida; Malpighiales; Euphorbiaceae.
AAGACGAUAAUGGGAAAAUAAAAGAUAUCAUAUAAAACCAUUUUAUCGAUAAGAUUUGUAGCAUAAACCAACCAAAAUUAAAUAGAAAAGAAUAAGUUUAUGGGUAGAUAAUAGUUGGAUGGAUAAAAUACAAGACGGAUUUCUCUAAAUAACGUAUCAUUUUGAAUUAGAUCAAGUAUAUUGACUGAAGAAACAAAUCCAUUUAAGCUUGCUAAAUUCCAGAUAAACCACUAAAGAUAAUUUUAUCAUUGACAUAAACAUCAGUAACCCCAAAGUCAAAAAUAAUAAUAAAAACAGCACAUACAAGCAGUAUGCUUACCACAUCCUCUGGUUCAUCAGCAUU